RNAcentral lists this ribosomal RNA (492 nucleotides) under uncultured bacterium. RNAcentral's name for it is "partial 16S ribosomal RNA". It matches the Rfam family "Bacterial small subunit ribosomal RNA", at positions 29 to 507 of the family's 1533-position model. The record is from RNAcentral.
AGUGAACGCUGGCGGUAGGCCUAACACAUGCAAGUCGAACGGCAGCACAGUAAGAGCUUGCUCUUACGGGUGUCGAGUGGCGGACGGGUGAGGAAUACAUCGGAAACUACUUUUUCGUGGGGGAUAACGUAGGGAAACUUAUGCUAAUACCGCAUACAACGUACUGGGGAAAGCAGGGGAUCUUCUGACCUUGCGCGAGUGAAAGAGCCUAUGUCGGAUUAGCUCGUUGGCGGGGUAAAGGCCCACCAAGGCGACGAUGCGAAGCUGGUCUGAGAGGAUGAUCCGCCACCUUGGAUGUGAGACACGGCCCAGACACUGGCGGGAGGACGCGGUCGGGACUCUUACACGAUGGAGGAGAGCGUGAUAUAGCACAAUCGGGGGAGUGAUGAAGGAGUUAGGCUUGGAAAGUGAUUAUGUUCUGAGAGAAGAAAAGCACGUUUAUCCGGGAUGAUAAUGACGGUACCCAAAGAAUAAGCACCGGCUAACUUCGUG